CAGUAGCCGCGGUAAUACGAAGGGGGCUAGCGUUGCUCGGAAUCACUGGGCGUAAAGGGUGCGUAGGCGGGUCUUUAAGUCAGAGGUGAAAUCCUGGAGCUCAACUCCAGAACUGCCUUUGAUACUGAGGAUCUUGAGUUCGGGAGAGGUGAGUGGAACUGCGAGUGUAGAGGUGAAAUUCGUAGAUAUUCGCAAGAACACCAGUGGCGAAGGCGGCUCACUGGCCCGGAACUGACGCUGAGGCGCGAAAGCGUGGGGAGCAAACAGGAUUAGAGACCCGUGUAGUCCCUGUCUCUUAUAC
RNAcentral lists this ribosomal RNA (301 nucleotides) under uncultured bacterium. RNAcentral describes it as "partial 16S ribosomal RNA". It matches the Rfam family "Bacterial small subunit ribosomal RNA", at positions 509 to 807 of the family's 1533-position model. The record is from RNAcentral.